RNAcentral lists this ribosomal RNA (396 nucleotides) under uncultured bacterium. RNAcentral's name for it is "bacterial SSU rRNA". It matches the Rfam family "Bacterial small subunit ribosomal RNA", at positions 28 to 429 of the family's 1533-position model. The record is from RNAcentral.
GACGAACGCUGGCGGCGUGCUUAACACAUGCAAGUCGAGCGGUAAGGCCCUUUCGGGGGUACGACGAGCGGCGAACGGGUGAGUAACACGUGGGUGACCUGCCCUCAGCUCUGGGAUAAGCCUGGGAAACCGGGUCUAAUACUGGAUAUGACUCCAUGACGCAUGUUGUGGGGUGGAAAGCCUUGUGCGGCUGAGGAUGGGCCCGCGGCCUAUCAGCUUGUUGGUGGGGGAUGGCCUACCAAGGCGACGACGGGUAGCCGGCCUGAGAGGGCGACCGGCCACACUGGGACUGAGACACGGCCCAGACUCCUACGGGAGGCAGCAGUGGGGAAUCUUGCGCAAUGGGCGAAAGCCUGACGCAGCGACGCCGCGUGAGGGAUGACGGCCUGGUGUAAC